Desarmillaria ectypa is the source of this 89-nucleotide non-coding RNA. The record is from the annotation of a GenBank genome assembly. Lineage: Eukaryota; Fungi; Basidiomycota; Agaricomycetes; Agaricales; Physalacriaceae.
GGCGCUAUGGUGUAGUGGCAGCACAUGGGAUUCUGAUUGCAGGCUCUGAACUUAUUCCCAUAACCCAGGUUCGAACCCUGGUAGUGCCU